ACUCGAGUGGCGAACGGGUGCAGUAACACGUGGGCAAUCUGCCCUGCACUUCGGGAUAAGCCUGGGAAACUGGGUCUAAUACCGGAUAGGACCUUUAGACGCAUGUCUUUUGGUGGAAAGCUUUUGCGGUGUGGGAUGGGCCCGCGGCCUAUCAGCUUGUUGGUGGGGUGAUGGCCUACCAAGGCGACGACGGGUAGCCGGCCUGAGAGGGUGUCCGGCCACACUGGGACUGAGAUACGGCCCAGACUCCUACGGGAGGCAGCAGUGGGGAAUAUUGCACAAUGGGCGCAAGCCUGAUGCAGCGACGCCGCGUGGGGGAUGACGGCCUUCGGGUUGUAAACCUCUUUCACCAUCGACGAAGGUUCGGGUUUUCUCGGAUUGACGGUAGGUGGAGAAGAAGCACCGGCCAACUACGUGCCAGCAGCCGCGGUAAUACGUA
Molecule: ribosomal RNA, 439 nt
Filed under: Mycobacterium sp.
Lineage: Bacteria; Bacillati; Actinomycetota; Actinomycetes; Mycobacteriales; Mycobacteriaceae
Description: bacterial SSU rRNA
Rfam family: Bacterial small subunit ribosomal RNA
Source: RNAcentral